GACGAACGCUGGCGGCGUGCUUAACAUAUGCAAGUCGAACGGAAAGGCCCUGCUUUUGUGGGGUGCUCGAGUGGCGAACGGGUGAGUAACACGUGAGUAACCUGCCCUUGACUUUGGGAUAACUUCAGGAAACUGGGGCUAAUACCGGAUAGGAGCUCCUGCUGCAUGGUGGGGGUUGGAAAGUUUCGGCGGUUGGGGAUGGACUCGCGGCUUAUCAGCUUGUUGGUGGGGUAGUGGCUUACCAAGGCUUUGACGGGUAGCCGGCCUGAGAGGGUGACCGGCCACAUUGGGACUGAGAUACGGCCCAGACUCCUACGGGAGGCAGCAGUGGGGAAUAUUGCACAAUGGGCGGAAGCCUGAUGCAGCAACGCCGCGUGCGGGAUGACGGCCUUCGGGUUGUAAACCGCUUUCGCCUGUGACGAAGCGUGAGUGACGGUAAUGGGUAAAGAAGCACCGGCUAACUACGUGCCAGCAGCCGCGGUGAUACGUAGGGUGCGAGCAUUGUCCGGAUUUAUUGGGCGUAAAGGGCUCGUAGGUGGUUGAUCGCGUCGGAAGUGUAAUCUUGGGGCUUAACCCUGAGCGUGCUUUCGAUACGGGUUGACUUGAGGAAGGUAGGGGAGAAUGGAAUUCCUGGUGGAGCGGUGGAAUGCGCAGAUAUCAGGAGGAACACCAGUGGCGAAGGCGGUUCUCUGGGCCUUUCCUGACGCUGAGGAGCGAAAGCGUGGGGAGCGAACAGGCUUAGAUACCCUGGUAGUCCACGCUGUAAACGGUGGGUACUAGGUGUGGGGUCCAUUCCACGGGUUCCGUGCCGUAGCUAACGCUUUAAGUACCCCGCCUGGGGAGUACGGCCGCAAGGCUAAAACUCAAAGGAAUUGACGGGGCCCCGCACAAGCGGCGGAGCAUGCGGAUUAAUUCGAUGCAACGCGUAGAACCUUACCUGGGUUUGACAUGGAUCGGGAGUGCUCAGAGAUGGGUGUGCCUCUUUUGGGGUCGGUUCACAGGUGGUGCAUGGCUGUCGUCAGCUCGUGUCGUGAGAUGUUGGGUUAAGUCCCGCAACGAGCGCAACCCUUGUUCACUGUUGCCAGCACGUUAUGGUGGGGACUCAGUGGAGACCGCCGGGGUCAACUCGGAGGAAGGUGGGGAUGACGUCAAGUCAUCAUGCCCCUUAUGUCCAGGGCUUCACGCAUGCUACAAUGGCUGGUACAGAGAGUGGCGAGCCUGUGAGGGUGAGCGAAUCUCGGAAAGCCGGUCUCAGUUCGGAUUGGGGUCUGCAACUCGACCUCAUGAAGUCGGAGUCGCUAGUAAUCGCAGAUCAGCAACGCUGCGGUGAAUACGUUCCCGGG
This 1343-nucleotide ribosomal RNA is filed under the name uncultured bacterium. RNAcentral describes it as "16S ribosomal RNA". It matches the Rfam family "Bacterial small subunit ribosomal RNA", at positions 28 to 1378 of the family's 1533-position model. The record is from RNAcentral.